CUGAUCAGCCAUGCCGCGUGUGUGAGAAGGCCUUAUGGUUGUAAAGCACUUUAAGCGAGGAGGAGGCUCUCUUGGUUAAUACCUAAGAUGAGUGGACGUUACUCGCAGAAUAAGCACCGGCUAACUCUGUGCCAGCAGCCGCGGUAAUACAGAGGGUGCGAGCGUUAAUCGGAUUUACUGGGCGUAAAGCGUGCGUAGGCGGCUUUUUAAGUCGGAUGUGAAAUCCCCGAGCUUAACUUGGGAAUUGCAUUCGAUACUGGGAAGCUAGAGUAUGGGAGAGGAUGGUAGAAUUCCAGGUGUAGCGGUGAAAUGCGUAGAGAUCUGGAGGAAUACCGAUGGCGAAGGCAGCCAUCUGGCCUAAUACUGACGCUGAGGUACGAAAGCAUGGGGAGCAAACA
RNAcentral lists this ribosomal RNA (398 nucleotides) under Acinetobacter guillouiae. RNAcentral describes it as "bacterial SSU rRNA". It matches the Rfam family "Bacterial small subunit ribosomal RNA", at positions 383 to 774 of the family's 1533-position model. Lineage: Bacteria; Pseudomonadati; Pseudomonadota; Gammaproteobacteria; Moraxellales; Moraxellaceae. The record is from RNAcentral.